CUUAAAUUGAAGAGUUUGAUCAUGGCUCAGAUUGAACGCUGGCGGCAGGCCUAACACAUGCAAGUCGAGCGGUAGCACGGGGGAGCUUGCUCCCUGGGUGACGAGCGGCGGACGGGUGAGUAAUGUCUGGGAAACUGCCUGAUGGAGGGGGAUAACUACUGGAAACGGUAGCUAAUAC
Molecule: ribosomal RNA, 178 nt
Filed under: Pectobacterium brasiliense
Lineage: Bacteria; Pseudomonadati; Pseudomonadota; Gammaproteobacteria; Enterobacterales; Pectobacteriaceae
Description: Pectobacterium carotovorum subsp. brasiliense partial 16S ribosomal RNA
Rfam family: Bacterial small subunit ribosomal RNA
Source: RNAcentral